This 303-nucleotide ribosomal RNA is filed under the name uncultured bacterium. RNAcentral describes it as "partial 16S ribosomal RNA". It matches the Rfam family "Bacterial small subunit ribosomal RNA", at positions 507 to 807 of the family's 1533-position model. The record is from RNAcentral.
AGCAGUCGCCACGGUAAUACGUAGGUGGCAAGCGUUGUCCGGAAUUAUUGGGCGUAAAGGGCUCGCAGGCGGUUUCUUAAGUCUGAUGUGAAAGCCCCCGGCUCAACCGGGGAGGGUCACUGGAAACUGGGAAACUUGAGUGCAGAAGAGGAGAGUGGAAUUCCACGUGUAGCGGUGAAAUGCGUAGAGAUGUGGAGGAACACCAGUGGCGAAGGCGACUCUCUGGUCUGUAACUGACGCUGAGGAGCGAAAGCGUGGGGAGCGAACAGGAUUAGAUACCCGUGUAGUCCCUGUCUCUUAUAC